ACAGUAAAAUGGCGGUUUUGCUCUUGCUCUUUUCCUUCAAUUACAGUCUGCCAUCCUUCUACAAUCUUCUCAUUCAAUUGCUGCCAGAACAAUCCAGAGAGAUUAUGAACGAUGGAGAGAGAGAGGGAGUGUGUGUGUUUCUUUGCUUUGCACGAAGAGAUAAAGAGAGAUCAUCAUCUCAGCAAGAGGUCGGUUGCUCUUUGUCACGAGAGUGAUCGGAGAGGUUUGUAAUUGGUGGUUUGUAUCAAAUCUCUUCUCAGCUUUCAUCACCAACUCUAAAAACUUGGGUUCAUCAUCCGCAAGGUAAUUAGUUGAGAGGAUUCUGGGUGUUUUCUCAUCUUUGGUUUUGGGUGACAAGCUAUUUAGUUGUACCCCGGACACUCAGAGAGACAGAGAGGAGGCAAAGUUAAGAGAAAAGAACAGGAGAAGAAGACGAUGGCGUUCAUAGGCUAUCAGUUUAGUUGUUUUUGUCCUUUCAACAACUUGGCCUUUGGAAUCUUCAGUUGUUCAAUUUGAUCGUGUGGACACUUUGUAUUUGACCCGGAGGGCGGCGUGAUGGAGGAGUUGAGAAGCCUGAGGGCAUAUUGUGGAGUGCAAUGGUUGCGGGGUCGUUUUCCAUUGAGCAAAAAACAAGUAUUGCACGUGGGUCCGUCGGCUAGACUUAAUGAGAAGAAAGCAAAGGCCUGCAGAUUCGGUUUCAAUAGUCCACUCUGGACUUUCACAGUCAACGUGCAGAAUGCCCAGAAGAAUGCAAAGUCUUGUACUUGCAGCAGGUCUUGUCGGCUUUAAUUAAACAAUAUUGCAAACAAGACUUGUGAUUGUUAAUUAAACAAUGCAGCAGCUAGUAGACAAGUGGGCUAGUACUUUAAUCAAACAAAGGUAUGCGGCAAUAAUCUGAUUUCCAGGGAUUGUUUCGGACUUCGAGAUUUCGGGAUUUGGGAGUAACUUGACUUCAAUGGUUUGUGAUGCUCUACGGGAUUCGGGUUUCAAAAGAGUACGGUGCAGGUUCAAAGAAUUGAACCUGGCUUUGAUACCAAGUAGAAAAUAAUAAUUCAAUACGUUUGGAAUGCUUCAAUAAUAUUCACCCCCAAGAAUAGGGUUCAUAAAGUGAUAC
Long non-coding RNA from Rosa chinensis, 1114 nucleotides. RefSeq lists it as uncharacterized. The transcript has 3 exons. NCBI's taxonomy places the organism in Eukaryota, Viridiplantae, Streptophyta, Magnoliopsida, Rosales, Rosaceae. The record is from RefSeq and is a predicted model, not a curated record.